RNAcentral lists this transfer RNA (83 nucleotides) under Planctomycetaceae bacterium. Its description in RNAcentral is "tRNA-Leu". It matches the Rfam family "tRNA". From Rfam's summary of the family: Transfer RNA (tRNA) molecules are approximately 80 nucleotides in length. Their secondary structure includes four short double-helical elements and three loops (D, anti-codon, and T loops). Lineage: Bacteria; Pseudomonadati; Planctomycetota; Planctomycetia; Planctomycetales; Planctomycetaceae. The record is from RNAcentral. RNAcentral also lists the same sequence under 1 other name.
GCCCAAGUGGCGGAAUGGCAGACGCGCUAGGUUCAGGUCCUAGUGAGGUAACACUCGUGGAGGUUCGACUCCUCUCUUGGGCA